Long non-coding RNA from Panthera uncia (snow leopard), 1784 nucleotides. RefSeq lists it as uncharacterized. The transcript has 6 exons. Lineage: Eukaryota; Metazoa; Chordata; Mammalia; Carnivora; Felidae. The record is from RefSeq and is a predicted model, not a curated record.
UUCUAGGUUGGAGUUGAGAUACUUUGGGCCUUGUUGAGGGCAGCCCCUCAUAAACACUUUGUGGUGCUUAUGAGCACCAUAAAGCCGAUGGCAUUAAUAGUUUCUAAAUGCCAGGUGCCGCGCAGAGGAGAGCUGGGGUGUGGACCUGUGCAUUCCCACUCUGGGGCCUGUUCGCUUAACUGCCGUGUCCUAAACAGAGUUUAGAUAGAUAUGCACUGACAAACGAAUGCAUGAUAAAUGAUUUGAAAUGACGAUUGUGAUGGCAAAUUUUAUGCCGGGCUUGAUUCCUCUCCCUCUUUCUCUCUCUCCCGCUCUCCGCGCCCCUUCCCCCGCCCGCUCUGUGACAUAAAUGCUUGGUUACUCAAGGCCACAGUAACAGGAUGCUAGAUAAACAGUACACCCCCACCCCCACCCCCCUUUCUUUCCAAGACGUGAAAAGGGAACAGAACGUUAGGGGAGGAGGCUGUCGCGGCGUCUCAGGGGGCUGGCGGGCCUGUGUGGUGGCCCUGAGGUCGUGCGGACGCCUGGCCCAGUCGCUGGCCGGCGAUCGCGAUCGGCGGUCACGGCCACCCGGGCUGCUCGGCUGCUCGUGUCUCCGAGGGGACGCUCCGCGUUGCUCUGACCGUGAGCAGUUAGGUGUCGCCCGAGCCUCUUUCUGGGGGCUAGGAUGUCCCUGGCCCAGCGCGUGUUCGGAGUAGACAGUGGGACCCUCCGUAGCCCCUGCAGAAACGAGUCUGAGGCACAGAAGACGGGAGGUCAGCCAGCCGGGGCUCCGCACUGCCUCCCCGCCCUUCCCACGCCACCGUCUCCCCUCAAACCAGGGCUCGGCUUCUGACCUCCCCCAAGCCGCUAGAGACCCCAUCUGGUGGGCUUUCCUGCCCACCCCCUCGCGGUGAGUGACUGCAGCACUGUGCCUGCUCGCCAGGGGUCGCAAAGUCCCGGCUCCAGGGGUCAGUCUCUCUACCCUUCACCCCGUGGGAUUCUCCGUUGGCUCCAUGAGCUUCCUGUAGCCCCCUCUCAGCUGGUGACAGCUCAACUGAACUGGUGACAAUUACCAAGCACCAAGUCGCAUUGCCAGCCCCAGGCUUCCUUCCACCCUACAGCACUUACCUGGAAUUAGCUGCGGUCGCAGCUCAGCAGAGGUGACUGUGCUGAACUGACAUUACAUUGAAACAAAGAGCAGGUGAAAGCUCUUCCUGGACCUACCCAGCUGCCCUAUCCAGCCUGGAGAUCCAAAGUGGGUGAUGGAUGGACUGCACAAUGUGGAGCCUUAUAGCCAGUGCAAAAAGUCGUGAAUGCUGAAACAGAUGCCCCAGCAACUGCCACUGGCAAAAGAACAAGGGCGUUUGCCUCCCUUCAAUCUUCCAAAUCAUGGGUGUGUGAUUGAUCAGUCUGAAUCCAGAACCUUGCUGGCCAGGGGCAUUUUACCAUGCAGAUUCUGGUUGUCAGAUUUUGAAGACUAUUAUCUUUAUGAAGACAGGAACUAGAUUUACUUGAAUCAACAUUGGAACCUCACUACAGAACACUGAUAUAAGUGCUAAUUAAUAUCAGUAUAUGCCUAGUAUAUAGCAAUCAACGAAUAGUUGUUGAAUGGAAGAAUAAAUUGAGCCACUGGGGUAAAGUCUCUGUGGCGGGAAAGAAGCUGAAAGAAGAUGCCUCGGGUCGGUUCCCUGGUGACCGCAGAAAUGAAGCCGUGGGUGACGACUUUUGGAAGACCCAGCACUUGCUCACAUUAGCUAAUAAAAACAGUACUGACUUGUAAAAUAAAUGUAGGGAAGACAAAG